UACGUAGGUGGCAAGCGUUGUCCGGAAUUAUUGGGCGUAAAGCGCGCGCAGGCGGUUCUUUAAGUCUGAUGUGAAAGCCCACGGCUCAACCGUGGAGGGUCAUUGGAAACUGGGGGACUUGAGUGCAGAAGAGGAAAGCGGAAUUCCACGUGUAGCGGUGAAAUGCGUAGAGAUGUGGAGGAACACCAGUGGCGAAGGCGGAUUUCUGGUCUGUAACUGACGCUGAGGCGCGAAAGCGUGGGGAGCAAACAGG
RNAcentral lists this ribosomal RNA (253 nucleotides) under uncultured bacterium. Its description in RNAcentral is "partial 16S ribosomal RNA". It matches the Rfam family "Bacterial small subunit ribosomal RNA", at positions 524 to 776 of the family's 1533-position model. The record is from RNAcentral.